GACGAACGCUGGCGGCGUGCUUUAGGCAUGCAAGUCGAACGCGAAAGCCCCUUCGGGGGUGAGUAGAGUGGCGAACGGGUGAGUAACACGUGGGUAACCUGCCCCUCGCAGGGGGAUAACCGGGGGAAACCCCGGCUAAUACCCCGUACGCUUGCUGGGGCGCAUGCUCCGGCAAGGAAAGGUAGCUUCGGCCAUCCGGCGAGGGAGGGGCCCGCGGCCCAUUAGCUAGUUGGGGGGGUAACGGCCCACCAAGGCGACGAUGGGUAGCUGGCCUGAGAGGGUGGUCAGCCACACUGGGACUGAAACGCGGCCCAGACUCCUACGGGAGGCAGCAGCCAGGAAUCUUGCGCAAUGGGCGAAAGCCUGACGCAGCAACGCCGCGUGGGCGAUGAAGGCCUUCGGGUCGUAAAGCCCUGUUGUCGGGGACGAAGGGCGAAGGGUUAAUAGCCCCUAGCCUGACGGUACCCGACGAGGAAGCCCCGGCUAACUACGUG
RNAcentral lists this ribosomal RNA (494 nucleotides) under uncultured bacterium. RNAcentral describes it as "partial 16S ribosomal RNA". It matches the Rfam family "Bacterial small subunit ribosomal RNA", at positions 28 to 507 of the family's 1533-position model. The record is from RNAcentral.